ACCAUGCAGUCGACGGUAACAGGUCUUCGGAUGCUGACGAGUGGCGAACGGGUGAGUAAUACAUCGGAACGUGCCCGAUCGUGGGGGAUAACGAGGCGAAAGCUUUGCUAAUACCGCAUACGAUCUACGGAUGACAGCGGGAGAUCUUCGGACCUCGCGCGGACGGAGCGGCCGAUGGCAGAUUAGGUAGUUGGUGGGAUAAUGGCCUACCAAGGCCGCGAUCUGUAGCUGGUUUGAGAGGACGACCAGCCACACUGGGACUGAGACACGGCCCAGACUCCUACGGGAGGCAGCAGUGGGGAAUUUUGGACAAUGGGGGCAAACCUGAUCCAGCCAUCCCGCGUGUGCGAUGAAGGGCCUUCGGGUUGUAAAGCACUUUUGGGCAGGGAAGAAAAGGCGCGGGCUAAUAUCCUGCCGCCGCUGACGGUAACCUGCAGG
RNAcentral lists this ribosomal RNA (438 nucleotides) under uncultured bacterium. RNAcentral describes it as "bacterial SSU rRNA". It matches the Rfam family "Bacterial small subunit ribosomal RNA", at positions 53 to 485 of the family's 1533-position model. The record is from RNAcentral.